AGAAGGCCCGAGCGUUAAUCAGAAUUACUGGGCUUAAAGCGUGCGCAGGCGGUCCAGAAAGUAUCUCGUGAAAUCCCUCGGCUCAACCGGGGAACUGCGGGGUAAACUUCUGGACUUGAGAAAGGUAGGGGCUGAUGGAACCAUGAGUGGAGCGGUGAAAUGCGUAGAUAUUCAUGGGAACGCCGAUGGGGAAGCCGAUCAGCUGGGCCUUUUCUGACGCUCAUGUACGAAAGCGUGGGGAGCAAACAGGAUUAGAUACCCUGGUAGUCCACGCCGUAAACGAUGUGCACUAGGUCGUGGCAACUCUGACGUUUGUCACGGCCGAAGGAAAACUAUUAAGUGCACCGCCUGGGGAGUACGGUCGCAAGGCUAAAACUCAAAGGAAUUGACGGGGGCUCACACAAGCGGUGGAGCAUGUUGCUUAAUUCGAGGCAACGCGAAGAACCUUACCUAGGCUUGAAUGUAUGGAUUAGCUUUGGAAACUUCAGUAAACGCCCUUGGGUGGAACAAACACAGGUGCUGCAUGGCCGUCGUCAGCUCGUGCUGUGAAGUGUCGGGUUAAGUCCCUUAACGAGCGCAACCCCUGUCGUUAGUUGCUAACAAGUAAUGUUGAGUACUCUAGCGAGACUGCCGGUGUCAAACCGGAGGAAGGUGGGGAUGACGUCAGGUCCUCAUGGCCCUUAUGCCUAGGGCUGCAAACGUGCUACAAUGGCAUGGACAGAGCGAGGCGAUCCCGCGAGGGGGAGCAAAUCGCAAAAACCAUGCCCCAGUUCGGGAUAGCAGCUGCAAUUCGCCUGCUUGAAGUUGGAAUCGCUAGUAAUCGCGGAUCAGCUACGCCGCGGUGAAUGUGUUCCUGAGCCUU
RNAcentral lists this ribosomal RNA (862 nucleotides) under uncultured organism. RNAcentral describes it as "bacterial SSU rRNA". It matches the Rfam family "Bacterial small subunit ribosomal RNA", at positions 527 to 1382 of the family's 1533-position model. The record is from RNAcentral.